This 72-nucleotide transfer RNA is filed under the name Ovis aries (sheep). It matches the Rfam family "tRNA". Rfam says of the family: Transfer RNA (tRNA) molecules are approximately 80 nucleotides in length. The record is from Rfam by way of RNAcentral. Lineage: Eukaryota; Metazoa; Chordata; Mammalia; Artiodactyla; Bovidae.
UCCCUGAUGGCUCAGAGGGUAAAGCGUCUGCCUGCAAAGCAGGAGACCUGGGUUGAUCCCUGGGUCAGGAAG